Molecule: transfer RNA, 77 nt
Filed under: Gemmataceae bacterium
Lineage: Bacteria; Pseudomonadati; Planctomycetota; Planctomycetia; Gemmatales; Gemmataceae
Description: tRNA-Leu
Rfam family: tRNA
About the family: Transfer RNA (tRNA) molecules are approximately 80 nucleotides in length.
Source: RNAcentral
GGCUCGGUAGGCAAUGGGCAGACCGGUCUGUCUCAAAAUCAGACGUGCUGUGGGUUCGACUCCCACCCGAGCCACAA